This is a long non-coding RNA of Hemibagrus wyckioides, 3242 nucleotides long. RefSeq lists it as uncharacterized. The record is from RefSeq and is a predicted model, not a curated record. The transcript has 6 exons. NCBI's taxonomy places the organism in Eukaryota, Metazoa, Chordata, Actinopteri, Siluriformes, Bagridae.
UUGUAUUGGACACAUACAAUACGAUAUCUACUGUUUUAUACAAAUAACAUACUAGGUACAUAUAAUACAUACAGCAAACUGUCACUGCCCUACUCGCAAUAUACAGUGAACAACUAAAUUGCACCCUACCUAUUGUGCAACACACCUUUAAUCAUCAUAGUCACAUAUAAUUACAGACACCAGAUGGGGGAGAACAUUUUUUUAUAACUGUUGACCUCAAGCUAACUUAUCAUUUAAUGCUUUAAUGGACAGUGGGACAAAGGAGUUCUUAUAACGAUUAAGCACACACUGAGGAACUCUUAGGCGUCUUCCUGAGGUAAGAAGUUGCUACCCUCAACCUACGAAGAAAAUACAAUCGCUGUUGGUCCCUAAUUCAGACAUUUUCCACCUGAACACUCCAUGUCAAAGGCAAUGUUUAUCACACCACUGGACAAAAUUCUGAACCUUUUGAACCUCAUGUUUGUAAGUAACAACAUCUGAUGUUCCAUACAUGAGACCUAAAACAGCUGCAUUAUCAGAUAACCUAAUCAUGUAAUUAUUACCAGUACUGCAUGUACAUUCAUCAGUAUAUAAGGAACAGAACUGGAGAACUGACACACCCCUGUGGGGCACCAGUGCUGAUAAUCGUAGAUUCAGACAGCGUCCUAUUCACCCGAACCUGCUGACUGCGAUUGGUCAGAAAUGAGUGGAACCACUUAAUAAUAAAGGGAUUGACAUUUAUCUGCUGCAUUGUUUUCAAAAGAAAGUGAGGCUGCAAGGUAUUAAAGGCUGAGCUGAAAUCUACAAACAACAGUCUAGCAUAUGCCCUAGGAUUCUCUAGAUGUUUAGUCACUAGGUGCACUAAACUGUUGAUUGCAUUAUCAGGGCCUCUUCAAUGUUUGUAAGUGAACUGAUUAGAAUCUAAGUGUGGACCUACUUCUAGUUUGAAUUAACUCAUAAUGAGCUUUUCCAUGCAUUUCAUCACAACAGAAGUUAAAGCAGUAGGUCUAAAAUAAUUAUUCUAGACCAAAUCACAUUCAACAGACAAAUCAUAAUUGUCAAACCGUCCACACCCACAUGAGGCUGGUAAGCAAACUGGACUGGGUCCAGUGCAAGUUCACCUGUGGGACCAGGUGGGCUAAAACUAUUCUCUCCAACACCUUCCAUGUGACAUGAAGCAACCGGUCUGUAGUCUCUGAGGCCAGAUAGGGGGGCUUUCUAAGGUAUCGGCACUAGACAACAUGCAUCAGACUCAGGUAGUAGAUGUACUUCAGGAUACCAGAAAGCUGAGUAGCGCAGGACUUCAGAACCCUUGGACUAAAACCACCAGGGCCUGCAGCCUUGCCUUGAUCAAGUCUCUCCAACUGUCUUCUCACCUGGUUGGUCGCCACAGUGAAAUAAGUUGAUGUGGUCAGCCCAGUGGAGGUAGGCAUUGGGGGGUUGUGGUCAGGGAUACUCAGCAAGCCUGUGUGAUGUUGCUGUGGAUGUGUAUUUGGUGUCUGUGAGGAUGUGAAGACUGUUCCUAUGUGGGAUGGACCAGCAGGGGAUCGUGUGCUGAACCUUUUAAAAACACAUUCAGUUCGUUGGCUCUGUCCAAGCUGUCCAAGAAGAAAUGAAACCUCAGUGUCAGACAACAGACAACUCUGGAGCUUAGGGCCAUUUCUCAGAUCACUGACAUGUUUUAAUCAACACUAAAAUCAUUUCAUUCAUACUGUCUUAAUAACAGCUUCCUCUCCAGGCCCGUAUUUUUCCCACUUUAUUUAUCAUCUAAAAGUGUUUAUCAUCAGCUGUGUAUCAGUGUGAGAGAGAAAAGUCUGGUCUUUAACCGUUCAGGAGUUUUACUGUGUGAAAGAGUGACUUCAGAGUCACAGCACAGCAGAGUCAGAACUUCAGUGCAUUCAGAGUCACAGCAACAUAAGAAAUGAAGCAAUUUAGGUCUAAAAAUAUUUACAUCCUCUAAAAUAUUACAGAUUGGUUGUCCACAUAUGUUCUGGCUUAAAUAUUUACUUAUUUGACUAAUCCUUUUUUUCAUUUCAGUUUACAGGUUUUAGCCUGAUGACACUGGCUAUCUUUAACUUAGCAGUGUUCAAGUGCUGCAGAUUCUGUCAGCAAGAACCACAAGCCAACACUGGAGCAACCGCCACCAGACGAAGGUGAUGGGAAACAAACUGCUGUACAGAUCACAUACUAAAUCUGCUCAGAUGGAGCUGCUGUGCUGAAUGAACAUAUUGUUAAUCUAAACAAUCACUAGAGGCUCCUCCCUGUUUUGGGUCACCAGAGUGGAUCACCUUGUCCACAUUUUUUAUGUGGCUUUAUACCGGAUGCCCUUCCUGACAUGACCAUUCCAUAUAAUCUGGGCUUGGGACCAAGACUGAUAGUUAACUCUUCAGUGGCUGGGUUAGCUUCCUGCCUGGGAAUUGAACCCUGGGAAUCAGUGAGAGGGCGGGAUCCCUCCACUGGACCACAAGGAGGCAAUUAGUAAAGCUAAUUAGUGAAUUAUAUGAAAAUAAAUGAAAAUUAAAAUGAAGAGUAAUGCUGGUCUAAUCAUUUUGUUAGCCGUGUUAACAAAAAACACAGAGUGACCAUUGAGUGAUCGAUUGAUUGAUCUGUGGAGAUCGUCAAGUGCACCAAAUUCCUUGGUGUUCAUCUGGUGGAGAACUUUACCUGGUCACUCAACACCAGCUCCAUCAGUAAUAAAGCCCAGCAGCAUCUUUACUUAUUAACGAAGUCUGAGGAAAGCCCAUCUCCCUCCCCCCAUCCUGUCUGUGUUCUACAGAGGGACCAUGGAGAGCGUCCUGAGCAGCUGCAUCACUGCCUGGUUUGGGAACUGGACCGUCUCAGAUCACAAGACCCUUCAGGGGAUAAUGCACUACAACACAAGCUGGACCCAGCUAGCACAACAACACUUUACUCUUCUUCUGAACUCUGCGUGAUGCCGUUCACUACAACACGAGCUGGACCCGGCUAGCACAACACUCUUCUUCUGAACUCUGCAUGGAAGUGCUAGGUGCCCUGUGCUAACGUCGCUGAGCUGACAGACAACUGGCUAGUGUGUGUGAUUGACAGGAGGAGAGAGAGUCUGCCCCUCCCAUCCAGAGAGCUCAGAGAGUCAUGAUCGAUCAUUAUUAUCAUGUUCUUAUCAUUUCAUUAGAAUUUGAACUGUUUUAAUAAAAACUGAAUGAGUGAAGUGAACAUGGCGUCAUGGCGUAACAUCCAGCGUGGGAGUGCGUUAUAACUUUAUUUAAAAACACUGAUUAGAGCUA